AUAUAUAUAUAUAUAUAUAUAUAUAUAUAUAUAUAUAUAUAUAUAUAUAUAUUCUGUUAUGUUUAGCAAUAUAGAGAACAGAGAAACGGAGAAAAAGAAACGGAGGGCAGAAUAGAGAAGGAGAAAUAUGAAAUAGGAAGAGAGGGAGAGCGAGAAGCAAGUACAGCAUAGCAGAAGAGCGGAAGCAUGCUGUGUUUGUUACCGUAAACUUCAUAUAAAUUCUAAGCUAUUCUUUCCUAUUUAACUUCUCCCAUUUCCUUUCCUUUCUGAGAGUUGCAUUUAACAGACAAUGUAGUUAAUGAGUUGUUUUCUCUCACAGUGUAGUCAGUUUUCACCCAGCCCUCCAAAUAACCCCAUAAUAAUUUUUUGAAACAUAAUAGUCUUUUUAGACCUAGACUCGGUGGAUGGGAGAGACAGGCGUGGUCGAGCUUUCAUCUCUCAGCUUUCCACUUUUCCCUUCCCUCCCUAUUUCCCAUCAUGUGGCUGGUUCGGUUGGCCAACGAACAUUUCCGCGAUUCAGUAGAAACCGAGAUCUGAAAACAGCUGGAUGUAUUGUACAGAGAGGCGUUUUAAAUCAUAAAUAGGAAGGGCAUAUUGAAUUUAUACCUAUCGGUGGGAUAACCUUGUGACGCCUUAUUAUAUUGCAUACUAUUUAGGCCCUAACAGAGACUGUGAUCUGUGUGAAUCCACAUAUUGUGUGAAUGGCGUGUGUGUGUGUGUGUGUGUUCCCUGCUCCUUUUGUGUGGAGAGUGACUGCACAUAGUCCUGCAUUGUCUGGCUCUCUCUUAAAGUUGUGUCUAGAUUUUGAUGGGAGCAGACACCUGUUCUCUCCCCCUUUCUGCCUAAGUGUAGUGUAUUAAUGUGAGGAGUUAGGUGGAGCUAGACGCAUCGUGAUGUUCAGCUGCUUAGCGUGGAGUUUGAUGGGAAGUGUUUGUUUUGGAACGAGAGGGAUUUUGGCGUGGAACACGGACACUUGAGGCGUUGUUUUAGAGGUCUGGAUUGUGUGGCUUUGUCAGCAUAGCAGGAGUUUCACGGUGAUGCUUAAGGACCGUAGCCGCAGCCGUCUUCACCAGUGUGUGCCUGUCUACUGGAGGAGUGGUGUAGUGUGUGGCCAUCCUGAGCCCUAUCAGUCUGUGGUGACAAGAGGGAGACGCCUGUCAUCACUCAGCAGGGGACCAGAAGCGUUCGUGUGAACGAGGGUUACCCGUGGUGUCCCUCAACUGGAAAUUUUGAGGUGUAUCCUUUUAGUUAUUUUUUUUCUUGUGAGUUUACACGAGUUGUGUAUUGAUUAAUAUUGAUAUCCAUUAAAGUGUUAUUUGUAUA
Molecule: long non-coding RNA, 1323 nt
Organism: Scylla paramamosain (green mud crab)
Lineage: Eukaryota; Metazoa; Arthropoda; Malacostraca; Decapoda; Portunidae
Exons: 2
Source: RefSeq, a predicted model, not a curated record